Molecule: non-coding RNA, 130 nt
Organism: Myotis brandtii (Brandt's bat)
Lineage: Eukaryota; Metazoa; Chordata; Mammalia; Chiroptera; Vespertilionidae
Source: Rfam
GUUUCUAUCUCUCUUUCCCUUUCCCUUCCUCUCUGAAAUAUAAAUAUAUAGAUAUACAUACAUAUAUAUGUAUGUAUAUCUAUAUAUUUAUAUUUCAGAGAGGAAGGGAAAGGGAAAGAGAGAUAGAAAC